This 61-nucleotide microRNA precursor is filed under the name Callithrix jacchus (white-tufted-ear marmoset). RNAcentral's name for it is "Cja-Mir-155_pre stem-loop". It matches the Rfam family "mir-155 microRNA precursor family". The record is from RNAcentral. RNAcentral also lists the same sequence under 5 other names. Lineage: Eukaryota; Metazoa; Chordata; Mammalia; Primates; Cebidae.
UUAAUGCUAAUCGUGAUAGGGGUUUUUACCUCCAACUGACUCCUACAUGUUAGCAUUAACA